UUAUGAUGAACCUUUUAGAUGACGAGUCUGAUCCAGUUUGACUGAUGCAGACAAACACUAUUUUACCAUUCAUGCAUUUCCUGAAC
RNAcentral lists this small nucleolar RNA (86 nucleotides) under Exophiala sideris. The record is from RNAcentral. Lineage: Eukaryota; Fungi; Ascomycota; Eurotiomycetes; Chaetothyriales; Herpotrichiellaceae.